CUGACCCAGCUCCAGGCAAGACAGAUGGCCAGUCACUGGGAAGGAAUUUAGUACAGGAGUCUGAAUUUGGUGCUCCCUGAAACCAGAUUCACACAGCCAAACAUCUUCUUCCAGUGAGUUUUCAAACGCAUUCAAGGAAUCACUGAGAUCCACAAAGUACUGGCCAGAGAGGAAGAAAGAAGUAGAAACUCUCGAAAGAAUGAAAUACAGUGAAGGUGAAUUGCCAGUAUGGACUGACACCCUUGGCUCAUCGCUUGGUGCCUGCUUGGAGCAGCAUGAAAAGUGCAAAUUCACUUGCACAUUUGCAAAGAAUGGAUCACAAUCUUUCCACUGUCUUAUAGAAGCAGAGCCAAUUCCUGGGCCAACGUGUAAGAAAGGCGUGUCUCAGGCUUGAAAGAGUGACAGUCUAAUGAAGAAUGGCAGUUGAAAAAAGAAAUGCACCCAGAGGCAGACAUCGUGUUAAGGAAAACAACACCCUGAAGAAGCCAUACCCUCUUCCCCAAGUUCGGGACUGACACCCACUUGUGGUGCAAGUCUGCUCAUGUCUCUGUGAUGAAUUUCAGGGCUCAGUAUGAACUAGUGUAGUAUUACCCAAGAAUAAUUUCAGUAACAAAUUGUCUGGAUCAGACUGGCCUCUGGGCAUGUCUAUGUCUUGAUGAUAUUACUUGAUGUGGGUGGCACUGCUCCCUGGUGAACUGAGGUGUGAGCUGAGAUGUGAGCACCCACUUGUAUCCUGUCCCUGAUUUAGAGAUCUGUGUGAUGUGCCUGACUCCUUCAGGUUCUGCAGCUUCCCUGCCAACGGGGUACCACAACCUGGAACUGUG
Long non-coding RNA from Mus caroli (Ryukyu mouse), 824 nucleotides. RefSeq lists it as uncharacterized. NCBI's taxonomy places the organism in Eukaryota, Metazoa, Chordata, Mammalia, Rodentia, Muridae. The record is from RefSeq and is a predicted model, not a curated record.